This is a small nuclear RNA of Tursiops truncatus (common bottlenose dolphin), 102 nucleotides long. Lineage: Eukaryota; Metazoa; Chordata; Mammalia; Artiodactyla; Delphinidae. The record is from Ensembl.
GUGCUCACUUUGGUAGCACAUAUACUAAAAUGGGAACACAGAAAAUUAGCAUGGCCUCUGUGCAAGGAUGAUGCGCAAAUUCAGGAAGCGUUCCGUAUUUUU